This 238-nucleotide ribosomal RNA is filed under the name uncultured bacterium. Its description in RNAcentral is "partial 16S ribosomal RNA". It matches the Rfam family "Bacterial small subunit ribosomal RNA", at positions 96 to 334 of the family's 1533-position model. The record is from RNAcentral.
CGGCGGACGGGUGAGUAACGCGUGGGUAACCUGCCUCAUACAGGGGGAUAACAGUUGGAAACGGCUGCUAAUACCGCAUAAGCACACAGUACCGCAUGGUACGGUGUGAAAAACUCCGGUGGUAUGAGAUGGACCCGCGUCUGAUUAGGUAGUUGGUGGGGUAACGGCCUACCAAGCCGACGAUCAGUAGCCGACCUGAGAGGGUGACCGGCCACAUUGGGACUGAGACACGGCCCAA